Molecule: small nucleolar RNA, 65 nt
Filed under: Dasypus novemcinctus (nine-banded armadillo)
Lineage: Eukaryota; Metazoa; Chordata; Mammalia; Cingulata; Dasypodidae
Description: Small nucleolar RNA SNORA38 (ENSDNOG00000029923.1)
Source: RNAcentral
AAAGAGAUAUGAACUUGGAGAAGUCUAGAGCCAGCUUGCCUCUGCAGGCUCAAGAUCACCCUUCC